RNAcentral lists this unclassified non-coding RNA (152 nucleotides) under uncultured Fusidium. RNAcentral describes it as "sequence contains ITS1". Lineage: Eukaryota; Fungi; Ascomycota; Sordariomycetes; Hypocreales; Nectriaceae. The record is from RNAcentral.
UAGAGUUGUAAAACUCCCAAAACCCAUGUGAACAUACCUCUGUUGCCUCGGUGGCCUACCCGGUACCUACCCUGUAGUUACCCUGUAGUCCGCCGACGGACCACCAAACUCUUGUUUUUUUUAAUAUCUCUGAGUCAACUAUAAAUAAGUUA